GCGGGGGCCGUGCCGCCGCAGCGCGGCCGUUAACCGCUUCGGCGCGGUCCUUGGUCCCGCCCUUGAGGCGCUGCCUGAGGGGCGGCCGGGCGGGCCGGUUCCCGCCGUGACGGGACGCGGAAGGGGCUCCAACUCCGCGUUCUGCCCCGUCUGGGGAGUUCUGGCUCUCUGAGGGGAGCGUUUCGCCCAGGACGUGAAAGCGUGAGAAACGGAGGCAGCACCGCGGGCCUCGACGCAGAGGAAGGUAAAGCCUGAAGAACCAGUCCCAGCCUCGGGCCAGCUGUGAUGUGACCACGUCGAUAAAUCAGGGCUCGGAGGAAGAAAACCAUCACCAUCUACAGUACGGGUAACAGAAGAACAAAGAGCUGACAUUGCAGCGAGGAUCCUUCAGGAAGCUUGUGGGAAAGCACCUUUCGCCUCUGACGUAGCAUGUGAAAAUACAGCUGGGGAAAGACUGAAGAAAAAACAGACAAAGGAAGAAGUCAGGCUUCUGUGUUGGUGUAAAACACACUCACAUACUCAAGGUCAUUGAUUCUGUUAAAAGAAAAUCUGCUUCUCCACUCUGCUCAAAUCAUCUACUGGCUAGAAACUAGCAAUAUUGCCCUUAGACUUCAGGUAUUAUUUAAUUUUUGUUAGAACGAUGCCGUUUUUAAUUAAAGGCAAAAUGCAUUAUUUCAUAAUUAACUUGGCACAUACAAGAAGAAUGACAAAGUUUCUUGAACUGCAUGCAUACAAUAAACAAACUGCUUUGUGGGGAAAAAAAGCACCAGGAGAAAUGGAAGUCAUCCAAAAGAAUUAAAUUCACCGAUUUGUUUCCGAUCUGAUGAUUCUAGUGUCUCUUUUUCAGGAUCUAAAAAAAACUUUAUACAACCUGGAGCCUCCUGCAUCUCUACCCUCCCUGCAAAGCUUUUUUCCUCCUAUUUCGAAGGUUACAUUACACAGUAUGCUUGCAGAAGAAUGAACUAGCGGACGUAAAACAGUGAAAGCUUCUAUCUUUGUGAAGAAUGUGAAAGUAAAACAAGGUCAAUAUCAACAUAGAGACAUCCGUUACGCUUGCCUAGUGUUUGUUGUGAGUGUAAGACAACCAAAGACAGCUUAAUUUGUACUUCUUUUUCCCCUAAAGUUAGCAUUUUCUUCUUUGGCUUUCUUUGCCAGUAUUAAACAUCUUGACUACCUCCUCCAACCCUGCCUUUCAUUUCAUUUAACUCCCCCAGUGUUAAGUUGUGAAUACAUCUGUCCAGAAACAUGGAAGUAUACAGAGCCUCGUGGUUUCUGUUUGAAGUUUAAAUAAUUGGUACCUAUUACAUACAAAGAAUUGAAUGAUAACUUCUCUGGCAAGAUGUCUAUUUGACAAGCAAGAACUAAUAAGCCAGAUAAAUGGUAACGUCCAAAAUAGUUCACAGAAAGAAUAACUGCUUAUAGACGGCCACACUACUGAAACUUAAAUCUUAGAAUACGAUUUGUCAGUCAGCAUAAGCAACAAGGUUCACAUAAACACAGCUACAGAGAUAGCUAGCAGCAGUGCCACUGCAUUAUUUUACACAUUAAACUUCUAUUUGCACAUCUAAAUUGGCUGAAGACCUGCAUGCUCUUAAUCACUGUUUCUAAGCAGCAAAGCCAAACCUUCUCCUGUGAAAACAUUCACCAAAGACAGUAUCAACUCAAUAUCAGUAUCAACGCCUCCCCAGCCACUACCACAAAAGCAACAUUCUUAUUCCUGAACCACAUUUUAAGAAACUGCUUUAAACCUUGUUCUCCUAGAAGUCUGUAAGUGGGAUCAAAAUGAAGAUCUCAGUGUUUGCUAAGUACUACGGUUAUUUUAUGUAUCAAAUGUAAGAGAAAAAACACAUAUUACUAAGCUACAAGCAUUGCUAGAAAGCAACCCAUGCAGUUUUAACUCUGAUUUCUUUCUUUAAAGAAUGUCCAAAACGAAUUUUGCAAAAUUAGUUGUGCACACGCUAAACCCGCAGUUGUUAGCUUUUCAUAUUAAAGAACUAACAAACUUGUACUUACGUGGAAUGUAAGAGAUCAUAACCAGGAUCAGGAAUGUAUAAUAGUCAAAAGAAAAGUUGUACUUAUUAGGUAAACUAAUGGAAUACAAGCCAGACUGCCUGACGAAGGGUAAUGCAGCAUAUAUUGUGAGUAAUUCCCCAGAGACUCCCAUUGGAUACAAUAUUAUAAACAAAGUGUACCUACAAGAAAACAUUUAAGAAAAGGAUUAAAAGUUGUGACAAAGUACUUAAGUACCUCUAUGGAUAUUCAACUUCUAAAUCCUUAACUUUUAUUUCAUUUGAGCAUGGCAGUUUGUGAACAUCAAUGCAAGACAAAAUAUUGACAUCAACAACCAGUUUUGAAUUAUUUGAGGACAAUCUUUGAGAACCUGAAUGGUAUCUUUACAAUAAUUCCCCCACCCCCAUACUUCAUUGCUUUGACUGCCAAACUCUUUGAUUGAGGACAUCAAACUCCUUAGUUGAGAACAUAUUAUUAAA
RNAcentral lists this long non-coding RNA (2489 nucleotides) under Gallus gallus (chicken). The record is from RNAcentral. Lineage: Eukaryota; Metazoa; Chordata; Aves; Galliformes; Phasianidae.